GGGUUGUGAGGUUAAGCGACUAAGCGUACACGGUGGAUGCCCUGGCAGUCAGAGGCGAUGAAGGGCGUGCUAAUCUGCGAUAAGCGCCGGUAAGGUGAUAUGAACCGUUAUAACCGGCGAUACCCGAAUGGGGAAACCCAGUGUGACUCGUCACACUAUCAUUAACUGAAUCCAUAGGUUAAUGAGGCGAACCGGGGGAACUGAAACAUCUAAGUACCCCGAGGAAAAGAAAUCAACCGAGAUUCCCCCAGUAGCGGCGAGCGAACGGGGAGGAGCCCAGAGCCUGAAUCAGCAUGUGUGUUAGUGGAAGCGUCUGGAAAGGCGCGCGAUACAGGGUGACAGCCCCGUACACAAAAGCGCAUGUGCUGUGAGCUCGAUGAGUAGGGCGGGACACGUGGUAUCCUGUCUGAAUAUGGGGGGACCAUCCUCCAAGGCUAAAUACUCCUGACUGACCGAUAGUGAACCAGUACCGUGAGGGAAAGGCGAAAAGAACCCCGGCGAGGGGAGUGAAAAAGAACCUGAAACCGUGUACGUACAAGCAGUGGGAGCACAGGUUUACCUGUGUGACUGCGUACCUUUUGUAUAAUGGGUC
RNAcentral lists this ribosomal RNA (592 nucleotides) under Salmonella enterica. RNAcentral describes it as "partial 23S ribosomal RNA". It matches the Rfam family "Bacterial large subunit ribosomal RNA", at positions 1 to 621 of the family's 2925-position model. RNAcentral also lists the same sequence under 1 other name. The record is from RNAcentral. Lineage: Bacteria; Pseudomonadati; Pseudomonadota; Gammaproteobacteria; Enterobacterales; Enterobacteriaceae.